GUGUCAGCAGCCGCGGUAAUACGUAGGGGGCGAGCGUUGUCCGGAUUCAUUGGGCGUAAAGCGCUUUAAGGCGGUUCGCUAAGUCGCGUGUGAAACCUCCAGGCUCAACCUGGAGACGCCACGCGAUACUGGCGUGACUAGAGUUCGGUAGGGGAUCACGGAAUUCCUGGUGUAGCGGUGAAAUGCGCAGAUAUCAGGAGGAACACCGGUGGCGAAGGCGGUGAUCUGGGCCGACACUGACGCUGUAGAGCGAAAGCGUGGGGAGCGAACAGGAUUAGAUACCCCCGUAGUCC
This 293-nucleotide ribosomal RNA is filed under the name uncultured bacterium. RNAcentral's name for it is "partial 16S ribosomal RNA". It matches the Rfam family "Bacterial small subunit ribosomal RNA", at positions 505 to 796 of the family's 1533-position model. The record is from RNAcentral.